UUACGGUGCCCAACUGCGCGCU
Molecule: small nuclear RNA, 22 nt
Filed under: Arabidopsis thaliana (thale cress)
Lineage: Eukaryota; Viridiplantae; Streptophyta; Magnoliopsida; Brassicales; Brassicaceae
Description: snRNA_07190
Source: RNAcentral